UCGGAUAAGCUUAUAACAUGUUCGGGAUUUAAAUACGGCCCAUUCGGGCCCAUCUACGAUGUGUUAAGCAUAUCCGGAAGUUUCUGGAGGAUGCAGCUGCUUGUCUACCUCCUUAAGCAGCUAGACAUGUGUUACUCCUUUACUGGAGAAUCCUCCAAGCAGCUCUUGCUUAUGUCCUAUUGGUUGAAAUGGUGGCUGGCCACAAAACUUGUUUUAAUUGGACAGAUUUGUGGCUGCACACCAAUCUCUCUCCAAUUGGUUGCAUGGGGCACUCAGGACACCUCCUGCUUGCUAUGCACGACCAAAACCCUCCCAUGAGCUCAUUCUCCAGCCUAUAAAUAGCAGACCACCCCCUUAGUUAUUUCUGAUGCUUAGAACCCUAACCAUAGCAGCUCGAAAAAGUCGAAACCCUAAGGUAAAUUGUUUUUGUCUUUAGCUUUCUUUUUAUUUAGAUUUUGUUUUUUUUUUUUUUUUUUUUUCUUAGUUAGAACUUGGAUAGCCUUUCUUAACCUACCCCUUCCUUUAUUUAGAUUUCUAAAGCUCUAGAGUUUUCCGAUAAAAGUUUAAAGUGAAGCCGACCGCGAGAUAGAAGCGUUUCCAGUCCAAAACUUUCAUCAAGUGUUGAGGUGAGUCUCAGUUAUGGGUUAUGAUUGUUGUGUGUGCGACUAGCGCCUGCAAAACAAGAGUAACGGUUAAUGCAUUGCUAGGUUGCACGUUUAGAUAUAUAAUGAUAUGAUAAUGAUUGAUGUUUGUGAAAGAUAUUGAGUUAUAUCGUCGGGCUUCGGCUCGAGGGGUAUAACAUGAUUGUGAUACGUUGAUGUUGUGAUGCAUAUACUUAUGUCAUUGCAUUAUAUUUUUUUGCGCCUCGGCUCAGAUAAUAUAACAUGUUUGAUCAUAUCUUAACGGGGAAACCCGUAAAUCCACGGACUUGAUCCGUGAGAGUCCGACACUCGGGUGGAGUGUCGUGAGAGUCAUUGGUAUCCACUCGAGGCCCGUGCUUUGUCCGGGGCCUUACCAAAAUUAGUUCCGGGCAGGACGCGAAGACACGUGUGGUAGGGCUAGCUACCCUCGACCGUGUAGCUGCAUGACGAUGCGGCAAGUGUGUUAUCCGGGCCAUCGGCUUUUUAGACUUUGUGAUUAGAGUCAAUGGGCGCAAGAAG
This 1160-nucleotide long non-coding RNA is filed under the name Brassica rapa (field mustard). Its description in RNAcentral is "long non-coding RNA (BRAP_LNC003618)". Lineage: Eukaryota; Viridiplantae; Streptophyta; Magnoliopsida; Brassicales; Brassicaceae. The record is from RNAcentral.